GGGACCUAAGCCGAGGCCGAAAGGCGUAGGCGAUGGACAACAGGUUGAGAUUCCUGUACUCGUUUGUUUUGUUUGAACAAUGGAGGGACGCAGGAGGUUACAGAAGCGCACUGUUGGAUAUGUGCGUACAAGCAACAAGUCUUGGAGUGAGUCAAAUGCUUACUCCUUUAAGGAUGAGUUGUGAUGUGUAGGGAAAUAAAGUACCGAAGUUCUAAUAUCACAC
This 223-nucleotide non-coding RNA is filed under the name Trichomalopsis sarcophagae. RNAcentral's name for it is "Bacterial large subunit ribosomal RNA". It matches the Rfam family "Bacterial large subunit ribosomal RNA", at positions 1386 to 1605 of the family's 2925-position model. The record is from Rfam by way of RNAcentral. Lineage: Eukaryota; Metazoa; Arthropoda; Insecta; Hymenoptera; Pteromalidae.